Long non-coding RNA from Melospiza georgiana, 1720 nucleotides. RefSeq lists it as uncharacterized. The transcript is spliced from 3 exons. Lineage: Eukaryota; Metazoa; Chordata; Aves; Passeriformes; Passerellidae. The record is from RefSeq and is a predicted model, not a curated record.
UCAAGGCUGUCAAGCUGAUCUGCCUAUUGAUUCAGAUCCAGGAACCAACCACUCCAGCUACGCUGUUUCUUUUUGUGCAGCUUGGCAGCAGUGAGGAAUCUAAGCAUCAGUGUAACCAUGCCUGGCUUCAGAGCAAGGCUCAGCAAGGAUCUGGAAGGACCAAACCACCUGAGACAUGUGCACCACACGGAGCAGUGAGCUGGAGCUGUGUGAGAGCAUUCCCACUGCCCAUGCUUGCCUGCAAGGGAAACACUGGAGUUUGCUCAGGAUUGUGUUGGUCUCAUAACUCCAUAGGUGAUAAAUGAGGUACUGUUGGAAAGAGCAAUACCUUUGGAAAGCUACUGGGCACAAGUUCAGAAGCUAAGCAAGAACCUUCCAGCUCAAGUUUUGCAGCUGGUAAACUGCUGUUCUCCCACUGUACACAGGGAUGCCCACUCCUCUCUGUGGUACUCCCUCACAAAUCUUUACUCAGCUGCAGCUGGGACACUUGCAAUUCAAUCCGGCAGAUAUCUAGCCACCCAUGAGUCCCUCUGGAAUUGCUGCAAUUAGCUGAAGAAAAAAUGCAACCAUUGUCAGACUUUGCAGUAAUACAGAGGUAAGGAUGCAUGAGAAACUCCUACCAUGCAAGUACUUCUGCACAGAGGAGAUUCCAGCAAACCUUUAGGAGGGCUAGUGAUCAUGCUAAUCUCCAGCACAACUUGAGGCCUGAGAGCCUCACCUCUGUGCCUUGUCAGAAAUGCAUUGUUUCUCAAAAGGCCAUGCCACAGCUGCCCUGGUAUGUCUAUCCCAAACACAAACCAUAGAAAAAGGCAGCAGCUCAUAUCACACAACAGGGUAAAUAUACUGACUCUGGAUUUACACUGGUAAAUAAGGAUCUGAAUGUAUUUCUAGCAAUGCUUUUAUCUUUUCCAGGACCAGCAUCUUUUUCACCUAGAAAGCCCUUUUCUAUGUUGUUUUUUAAAUACUCUGGAUUCUUGGAGGGCUGGAUCAAGUGUUUGCUGUGGUUUCAAAAAACUUUUUACUGCGUUGUGCAUGGAAAAGUGUGGAACUAAAGGCUUGAAUUGCUUUAGGAUGAGCACACAACCUGCUUUCAUAAAACCUAUUCCUAAGAAGAAAUAAUGAAAUUAUUGUGGAUCCUGCUCAUUACAGGCUUAACUACAUCUCGAACACAUUACCACGACAGCGAUGAAACUCAGCCUCGCCUUGUCUGGGAUCAAGAACUGUACGUAGCUGGGAUGCUGGGAUAGAUGAGCCCCACAGAAGAGGAAGCCGAGGGACCUUACCGUGGUGCUACUGCUGCGCAAAUCCCCUGCUGGGGCAAGGAACUCUGGGAAGCCACCUUGUCUCUGGGAAAAAAAUACAUCCCAAACCUCAACAGGUCGCGCCACCAGCCCAGCAGGUUGUGCCUGGGUUUCGGCUGGAGAACAGGCUCCAGGUCUCUCCUAACAGGAUGGAGGUUCCCCCCCGCGGUGUCGCUCUCCAGCGCCUUCCAAGCCCACUCCGCGACACCCGGGUCCCGCAGCAUCCCAAGCUCCCCGGGAUAGCUUCACAAAGGAAAGAUUGCAAACUCCCCUUUCCCGCCACGCUUCCCCCAAGCCCCGUUUCCCAGGAGCAACAGGCGGGCCCGGCAGCCCCGUGUCCCGGACUCACCGCCGAGAGCAGCGCCCCAGCGCAGGCAGAGGCACACGGCGGCCAGCAACGCCUUCCUCCACAUCUCGCC